UUAAAGUUGCGCCAUCUAUCGUUAAUUAUUGCAACAUCGAUCUAGCUUUGCCACAGAUAAUAAAAUAUUACGUUUUUAAAAGUUUGUGUUUAUUUGCAAAAUACAUUUUAUUGAAUUAAUUAAAUGUUUAGUUGUAAUUCUCAUAAAUUAUAGGAGAUACAAUAUCAAAUUUAAAAAAAAAAUAUAACCACCUAUAAAUAUCAUUUAAAACUAAAUUUGAGAACAAAAAAAACGCAACUUUCAAAUAACGUAGGUAGGUUAGUAACCUAACUAUGUUUGAAAAUGUUUGUUUUCGUUUGAAUUACGAGUCGAACGCGCCUUCUACGUUUUGUGUAUUGUGGUUUACAAACUGACCCUGGACUGAAAUCGGACUUUGAUUUGGCUUCAUGAAACCUGCUUUCACGUAGCGGCACAGGAACAGUGGUUAUAAAAAAUGACUGCACACAAUUGUUCUUAUUAUAAUUGUACAAAUUCUUCGGAACAGAAGUCAAUGUUCCGUUUUCCGUAGGAUGACGUCAACCGCCUAAAAGUAUGGCUUGAGAAUUGCGGUAAUAUGAACAUUGCCCACUUGCCUGCAGAAAAUUUGCGGUCAAGGUAUUUAUGCAUUGACCAUUUCAAUAUCAAGUAUGUACGAAAUGAGACUGGUCAUAGAAAAAGACUCCAGAGAAGUGCAGUUCCAGAACCAUAUCAGACUCAAGACGUUCAAAAUCGCUCAAGCACUUCCUCACCAGGUUCAUCAGGUACUUUUAAAGUACUGACACCGAAAAAGGUGUACAAAAAUAAACGGCUUCGCGACUGCGAACUUGAAGAGCUCGUGGAGCCGCCAGCAUUAGCAUACCAGUGCAACACGCCGAAGAGAAGACGGUUGUCAAUUACUGAAGACACGCCAAAAUGCAAAGUGUUAAAAAAGAAAUUAGUAUUGUAUCUAACAAUAACAAAAUGUAAUACCUUUUGAAUUAAAGAAGUAGUUUAAUUGAAUA
RNAcentral lists this long non-coding RNA (980 nucleotides) under Pectinophora gossypiella (pink bollworm). RNAcentral describes it as "uncharacterized LOC126370772". The record is from RNAcentral. Lineage: Eukaryota; Metazoa; Arthropoda; Insecta; Lepidoptera; Gelechiidae.